AGAGUUUGAUCCUGGCUCAGGGGUUUCUUGCGGUAUGCCUAACACAUGCAAGUCGAACGAGAGACGGCUUAGUGGCGGACGGGUGAGUAACGCGUGAGAACCUGCCUCCAGGCUGGGGACAACAGUUGGAAAUGAUCGUCUAAUACCCAAUGUGCCGAGAGGUGAAAGAUUUAUCACCUGGAGAGGGGCUCGCGUCCGAUUAGCUAGUUGGUGGGGUAAGAGCCUACCAAGGCGUCGAUCGGUAGCUGGUCUGAGAGGAUGAGCAGCCACACUGGGACUGAGACACGGCCCAGACCCCUACGGGAGGCAGCAGUGGGGAAUUUUCCGCAAUGGGCGAAAGCCUGACGGAGCAAUACCGCGUGAGGGAGGAAGGCUUUUGGGUUGUAAACCUCUUUUCUUAAGGAGGAAGAUCUGACGGUACUUAAGGAAUCAGCAUCGGCUAACUCCGUGCCAGCAGCCGCGGUAAUACGGAAGGAUGCAAGCGUUAUCCGGAAUUAUUGGGCGUAAAGCGUCCGCAGGUGGCCUUUCAAGUCUGCUGUCAAAGACCAGAGCUCAACUCCUGGGGCGGGGGGGGGAAACUGGGAGGCUAGAGUACGGGUAGGGGGUAGAGGGAAUUUCCCAGUGUAGCGGUGAAAUGCGUAGAGAUUGGGAAGAAACACCAGUGGCGAAGGCGCCYCUACUGGACCGAAACUGACACUCCAGGGACGAAAGCUAGGGGAGCCGAAAGGGAAUUAGAUACCCCCUGUAGUCCUAGCUGUAAACGAUAGRAUACUAGGCGUUGCUUGUAUCCGACCCGAGCRRUGCCGAAGCCAACGCGUUUAAGUAUCCCCGCYUGGGGGAGUACGCACGCAAGUGUGAAACUCAAAGGAAUUGACGGGGGCCCGCACAAGCGGUGGAGUAUGUGGUUUAAUUCGAUGCAACGCGAAGAACCUUACCAGGACUUGACAUGUCGCGAAUCCUCUUGAAAGAGAGGAGUGCCUUAGGGAGCGCGAACACAGGUGGUGCAUGGCUGUCGUCAGCUCGUGUCGUGAGAUGUUGGGUUAAGUCCCGCAACGAGCGCAACCCUCGUCCUUAGUUGCCAGCAUUAAGGUGGGCACUUUAGGGAGACUGCCGGUGACAAACCGGAGGAAGGUGGGGAUGACGUCAAGUCAGCAUGCCCCUUACGUUCUGGGCUACACACGUACUACAAUGGUUGGGACAAAGGGCAGCGAGCGAGCGAUCGUAAGCGAAUCUCAGCAAACCCAGCCUCAGUUCAGAUUGCAGGCUGCAACUCGCCUGCAUGAAGGAGGAAUCGCUAGUAAUCGCAGGUCAGCAUACUGCGGUGAAUCCGUUCCCGGGCCUUGUACACACCGCCCGUCACACCAUGGAAGCUGGCCACGCCCGAAGUCGUUACCCUAACCCGUAUGGGAGGGGGAUGCCGAAGGCAGGGCUAGUGACUGGGGUGAAGUCGUAACAAGGUAGCCGUACCGGAAGGUGUGGCUGGAUCACCUCCU
This 1493-nucleotide ribosomal RNA is filed under the name uncultured bacterium. RNAcentral's name for it is "bacterial SSU rRNA". It matches the Rfam family "Bacterial small subunit ribosomal RNA". The record is from RNAcentral.